RNAcentral lists this ribosomal RNA (476 nucleotides) under Bacteroidetes bacterium oral taxon 272. Its description in RNAcentral is "bacterial SSU rRNA". It matches the Rfam family "Bacterial small subunit ribosomal RNA", at positions 28 to 494 of the family's 1533-position model. The record is from RNAcentral. Lineage: Bacteria; Pseudomonadati; Bacteroidota.
GAUGAACGCUAGCUACAGGCUUAACACAUGCAAGUCGUGGGGCAUCAUGAUGUAGUAAUACAUCGAUGGCGACCGGCGCACGGGUGAGUAACGCGUAUCCAACCUACCCUCCACUCAAGUAUAGGCUUCCGAAAGGGAGAUUAAUCCUUGAUAUCGUCAUUCUCUCUCCUGUUAGAAUGAUAAAAGGACAUCGUUUCGGUAGAGGAUGGGGAUGCGUUCCAUUAGGUAGUAGGUGGUUUAACAGGCCACCUAGCCGAUGAUGGAUAGGGGUUCUGAGAGGAAUAUCCCCCACACUGGUACUGAGAUACGGACCAGACUCCUACGGGAGGCAGCAGUGAGGAAUAUUGGUCAAUGGGCGCAAGCCUGAACCAGCCAUGUAGCAUGAAGGAUGACGGUUUUUUUGAUUGUAAACUUCUUUUCUGUGCGAUUAAAGUGUGGCAUUUAUGCCAUAGGGCAGUAUCUCAGGAAUAAGCUCG